UACGAAGGGGGCUAGCGUUGUUCGGAUUUACUGGGCGUAAAGCGCACGUAGGCGGAUCUUUAAGUCAGAGGUGAAAAUCCCAAGGCUCAACCCUUGGAAACUGCCUUUUGAUACUGGGGGAUCUUGAGUCCGGGGAGAGGUGAGUGGAACUGCGAGUGUAAGAGGUGAAAAUUCGUAGAAUAUUCGCAAGAACACCAGUGGCGAAAGGCGGCCUCACUGGCCCCGGUACUGGACGCUGAGGUGCGAAAAGCGUGGGGAGCAAACAGG
RNAcentral lists this ribosomal RNA (267 nucleotides) under uncultured bacterium. RNAcentral's name for it is "partial 16S ribosomal RNA". It matches the Rfam family "Bacterial small subunit ribosomal RNA", at positions 524 to 776 of the family's 1533-position model. The record is from RNAcentral.